This 391-nucleotide long non-coding RNA is filed under the name Homo sapiens (human). RNAcentral describes it as "HSALNT0066023". Lineage: Eukaryota; Metazoa; Chordata; Mammalia; Primates; Hominidae. The record is from RNAcentral.
GCUUUUCAGGAGCUCCAUGGCCAGUUCACCUCCCCAUUCUGACACCUAACGCCGUGAGGCUCCGUCCUUGAAGAGAUGUAACAUGUUCUGGAGAAGAUGUCAAGGGUCACUUCGAAGUGUGCACAGGAAAGAAAACUGAUCCUGUAGCCACAGAAAAACAGGACUGAGACCAGGAAGGGCAAGUCGUGUGUGUCAGCAUUGUGGACCUUUAUAUAAAUAAUAAUUUUCCAGUGGGAACUGUGAUCUCUUCUUGUCUCUUCUAUUUUUAAAUGCUAAUUACUUCUGAUUUUGUUUACGUAGGCGGAGCUAAUAAGAACAUUUGCUUCAUAACCAUUGAACCUAAUGUAUCUGUUUUUGGACACUGGUGAUUUAUUUUUGCACACAUGCUCCA